This is a non-coding RNA of Oryza glumipatula, 204 nucleotides long. The record is from Rfam. NCBI's taxonomy places the organism in Eukaryota, Viridiplantae, Streptophyta, Magnoliopsida, Poales, Poaceae.
AAUAGAUGACGCCGUCGACUUUUUCUCACAUGUUUGACCAUUCGUCUUAUUCAAAAAAUUUACGUAAUUAUAAUUUAUUUUGUUAUGAGUUGUUUUAUCACUCAUAAUACUGUAAGUGUGAUUUAUAUCUCAUACAUUUGCAUAAAAAUUUUGAAUAAGACGAAUAGUCAAACAUGUGAGAAAAAGUCAACGGCGUCAUCUAUU